AGCGCGGAGCGCGUAUGCCUUGUAAGCGUUAGGUCGCGGGUUCGAUUCCCGC
RNAcentral lists this transfer RNA (52 nucleotides) under Diaphorina citri (Asian citrus psyllid). It matches the Rfam family "tRNA", at positions 9 to 63 of the family's 71-position model. Rfam says of the family: Transfer RNA (tRNA) molecules are approximately 80 nucleotides in length. Their secondary structure includes four short double-helical elements and three loops (D, anti-codon, and T loops). Lineage: Eukaryota; Metazoa; Arthropoda; Insecta; Hemiptera; Psyllidae. The record is from Rfam by way of RNAcentral.